Molecule: ribosomal RNA, 301 nt
Filed under: uncultured bacterium
Lineage: Bacteria
Description: partial 16S ribosomal RNA
Rfam family: Bacterial small subunit ribosomal RNA
Source: RNAcentral
CAGCCGCCAGGUAAUACGUAGGGUGCAAGCGUUAAUCGGAAUUACUGGGCGUAAAGCGUGCGCAGGCGGUUAUAUAAGACAGAUGUGAAAUCCCCGGGCUCAACCUGGGAACUGCAUUUGUGACUGUAUAGCUAGAGUACGGCAGAGGGGGAUGGAAUUCCGCGUGUAGCAGUGAAAUGCGUAGAUAUGCGGAGGAACACCGAUGGCGAAGGCAAUCCCCUGGGCCUGUACUGACGCUCAUGCACGAAAGCGUGGGGAGCAAACAGGAUUAGAUACCCCAGUAGUCCCUGUCUCUUAUACA